AAAGGCGCAAUGAAAGUGAAGGUCCGCCUUGCGCGGACCGAGGGAGGAUGGGUGGUCCCGAGGGGCCGCCUCGCACUCCCGGGGCGUCUCGUUCUCAUCGCGAGAAGAGGCGCACCCAGAGCGUACACGCUGGGACCCGAAAGAUGGUGAACUAUGCCUGGUCAGGACGAAGUCAGGGGAAACCCUGAUGGAGGUCCGUAGCGAUUCUGACGUGCAAAUCGAUCGUCGGAACUGGGUAUAGGGGCGAAAGACUAAUCGAACCAUCUAGUAGCUGGUUCCCUCCGAAGUUUCCCUCAGGAUAGCUGGCGCUCGCUUCUGGCGAGUCUCAUUCGGUAAAGCGAAUGAUUAGAGGCAUUGGGGUCGAAACGGCCUCAACCUAUUCUCAAACUUUAAAUGGGUGAGAUCUCCGGCUUGCUUGAACUGUGAAGCCGCGAGAUAUCGGAUCAGAGUGCCAAGUGGGCCACUUUUGGUAAGCAGAACUGGCGCUGUGGGAUGAACCAAACGCUGAGUUAAAGCGCCUAAAUCGACGCUUAUUGGG
Molecule: ribosomal RNA, 538 nt
Filed under: Hilyotrogus bicoloreus
Lineage: Eukaryota; Metazoa; Arthropoda; Insecta; Coleoptera; Scarabaeidae
Description: eukaryotic LSU rRNA
Rfam family: Eukaryotic large subunit ribosomal RNA
Source: RNAcentral